This 19-nucleotide small nuclear RNA is filed under the name Arabidopsis thaliana (thale cress). RNAcentral describes it as "snRNA_14770". The record is from RNAcentral. Lineage: Eukaryota; Viridiplantae; Streptophyta; Magnoliopsida; Brassicales; Brassicaceae.
GGCGGGAUCCCUCGCGGGU